Molecule: ribosomal RNA, 486 nt
Filed under: uncultured Pseudomonadota bacterium
Lineage: Bacteria; Pseudomonadati; Pseudomonadota
Description: bacterial SSU rRNA
Rfam family: Bacterial small subunit ribosomal RNA
Source: RNAcentral
UGGGGAAUCUUGCGCAAUGGGCGAAAGCCUGACGCAGCGACGCCGCGUGAGUGAUGAAGGCCUUCGGGUUGUAAAGCUCUGUGGGGAGGAGAAGAAUAAGUGCGGGCUAAUACUCCGCAUGAUGACGGUAUCUCCUUAGCAAGCACCGGCUAACUCUGUGCCAGCAGCCGCGGUAAGACAGAGGGUGCAAACGUUGUUCGGAAUUACUGGGCGUAAAGCGAGUGUAGGCGGUUUGGUAAGUCGGAUGUGAAAGCCCCGGGCUCAACCCGGGAAGUGCACUCGAUACUGCCAAGCUAGAGUAUCGGAGAGGUUGGUGGAAUUCUCGGUGUAGAGGUGAAAUUCGUAGAUAUCGAGAGGAACACCGGUGGCGAAGGCGGCCAACUGGACGAAUACUGACGCUGAGACUCGAAAGCGUGGGGAGCAAACCGGAUUAGAUACCCGGGUAGUCCACGCCGUAAACGAUGAGUACUAGGUGUAGGGGGUAUC